CAGACGGAGCGGCUACCAGAGGGGACGGCGGACCUCUGAGGCUAGCCCGUCCCGACAGAAGGGAGAAUUAUGGCAUCUCUCCCGGCCGCGAAAGGAGGACAUGUGUGAAUAAGGAAUCCAUACCACAAGGAAUACAGCAGAUCUGAAACAUCCCAGUAAUCAGAGAAAAUAGUUACAUAUCAAGGUGACACAUCUCUUCCUGGAAGAUCUUGCUUCUACAGACACUGCUACUGACUCGCCAAAGACUGUUUGUGAGAAGUGCCAGCCAGAGCAGACAUUACUAUUCAUCAGCCUAUGAACACACAAAUUCUCCUUUGCUGGAUUAUGUGGUACACCCAUCACCUGAGAAUUGGCUACAAAGUGGGCAAAACCAAAAAGGCACUUUAAUCACUGCUUGAGAAAAUUAGAUUACAGUUUACUUAAACUGAGACACCUUUUCUUUUAGACCAAUAUUCUAUUAUGCCUGUACAGGUGGGACUCUGUACUGUAAAUAAACAUUUAUUU
Molecule: long non-coding RNA, 504 nt
Organism: Strigops habroptila (Kakapo)
Lineage: Eukaryota; Metazoa; Chordata; Aves; Psittaciformes; Psittacidae
Exons: 3
Source: RefSeq, a predicted model, not a curated record